ACUCCUACCGGGAGGGCCAGGCAGGUGGGAAUAUUGCACAAUGGGCGGCAAGGCCUGAUGCAGGGCCAUGCCGCGUGUGUGAAGAAGGCCUUCGGGUUGUAAAGCACUUUCAGUCGUGAGGAAGGUAGUGUAGUUAAUAGCUGCAUUAUUUGACGUUAGCGACAGAAGAAGCACCGGCUAACUCCGUGCCAGCAGCCGCGGUAAUACGUAGGGUGCAAGCGUUAAUCGGAAUUACUGGGCGUAAAGCGUGCGCAGGCGGUUUGCUAAGACCGAUGUGAAAUCCCCGGGCUCAACCUGGGAACUGCAUUGGUGACUGGCAGGCUAGAGUAUGGCAGAGGGGGGUAGAAUUCCACGUGUAGCAGUGAAAUGCGUAGAGAUGUGGAGGAAUACCGAUGGCGAAGGCAGCCCCCUGGGCCAAUACUGACGCUCAUGCACGAAAGCGUGGGGGAGCAAACAGGAUUAGAUACCCU
Molecule: ribosomal RNA, 470 nt
Filed under: uncultured bacterium
Lineage: Bacteria
Description: bacterial SSU rRNA
Rfam family: Bacterial small subunit ribosomal RNA
Source: RNAcentral